GGAUGGGUGGCCGAGUGGUCGAAGGCGCUCGCCUGCUAAGCGAGUAUGGGUGUUAAAAGCCCAUCGAGGGUUCGAAUCCCUCCCCAUCCGCCA
Molecule: transfer RNA, 93 nt
Filed under: Hyphomicrobiales bacterium
Lineage: Bacteria; Pseudomonadati; Pseudomonadota; Alphaproteobacteria; Hyphomicrobiales
Description: tRNA-Ser
Rfam family: tRNA
About the family: Transfer RNA (tRNA) molecules are approximately 80 nucleotides in length. Their secondary structure includes four short double-helical elements and three loops (D, anti-codon, and T loops).
Source: RNAcentral